CGCCUUGCCAGCCCGCUACAGAAACUUAAAGGAAUUGACGGGGGCCCGCACAAGCGGUGGAGCAUGUGGUUUAAUUCGAUGAUACGCGAGGAACCUUACCUGGGCUCAAAUGUAUGUUGACGUAUUCUGAAAGGGAUACUUCUUCGGACAAUAUACAAGGUGCUGCAUGGUUGUCGUCAGCUCGUGCCGUGAGGUGUCGGGUUAAGUCCCAUAACGAGCGCAACCCCUAUUGCUAGUUACCAUCAUUAAGUUGGGGACUCUAGCGAGACUGCCAGUGAUAAACUGGAGGAAGGUGGGGAUGACGUCAAAUCAUCAUGCCCCUUAUGACCUGGGCUACAAACGUGAUACAAUGGCUGGAACAAAGGGAUGCGAAGCAGUGAUGUGGAGCGAAACCCAUAAAAACAGUCUCAGUUCGGAUUGAAGUCUGCAACUCGACUUCAUGAAGUCGGAAUCGCUAGUAAUCGCGGAUCAGAACGCCGCGGUGAAUACGUUCUCGGGGUUU
RNAcentral lists this ribosomal RNA (502 nucleotides) under uncultured Acholeplasma sp. Its description in RNAcentral is "bacterial SSU rRNA". It matches the Rfam family "Bacterial small subunit ribosomal RNA", at positions 903 to 1382 of the family's 1533-position model. Lineage: Bacteria; Bacillati; Mycoplasmatota; Mollicutes; Acholeplasmatales; Acholeplasmataceae. The record is from RNAcentral.